GCCGAAGUGGCGGAAUGGUAGACGCGCCGGUCUCAAAAACCGGUGGGAGCAAUCCCGUGUCGGUUCGAAUCCGACCUUCGGCACCA
This 86-nucleotide transfer RNA is filed under the name Chloroflexota bacterium. RNAcentral describes it as "Chloroflexi bacterium tRNA-Leu". It matches the Rfam family "tRNA". From Rfam's summary of the family: Transfer RNA (tRNA) molecules are approximately 80 nucleotides in length. Their secondary structure includes four short double-helical elements and three loops (D, anti-codon, and T loops). The record is from RNAcentral. Lineage: Bacteria; Bacillati; Chloroflexota.